This 270-nucleotide unclassified non-coding RNA is filed under the name Hevea brasiliensis (rubber tree). Lineage: Eukaryota; Viridiplantae; Streptophyta; Magnoliopsida; Malpighiales; Euphorbiaceae. The record is from RNAcentral.
CCCCGACCCUCUCCCCGUAAGAACGGGGCGAGGGAGAUAUCACUUUCCCGGCGCGAUGCCCUUGAACGACAGCCGCAGCGCGGCUUCGACGCGCGGAUCGUNCAUGCCGUCGCUGAUCAGCGACGCGACGCCGUGCGCGACGGCCCAGGCCAGCGCCAGCGUAUCCGGAUCGGUCGGCUUGCCGGGAUCGGCCUGAACCCCCGCAACCGCGAUCCGCAAUUGCUCGAAUGAAUCUGGAAUGCCGUCGACUUCAGCGUGGCUGUUCGAGCC